This 468-nucleotide ribosomal RNA is filed under the name uncultured bacterium. RNAcentral describes it as "partial 16S ribosomal RNA". It matches the Rfam family "Bacterial small subunit ribosomal RNA", at positions 28 to 507 of the family's 1533-position model. The record is from RNAcentral.
GACGAACGCUGGCGGCGUGCUUAACACAUGCAAGUCGAACGGACAGGCGCUGCGUUUGUUGCUUUCUCGUGUGGCGAGCGGGUGAGUAACACGUGUGUAACCUCCCCUUGACUUUGGGAUAACUUCUGGAGACUGCGGCUAAUACCCGAUAUGAGCUCCUGCUGCAUGGUGUUCGUUGGAAAGUUUCGGCGGUUGUGGAUGGACUCGCGGCUUAUCAGCUUGUUGGUGGGGUAGUUGCUUACCAAGGCUUUGACGGGUAGCCGGCCUGAGAGGGGGACCGGCGACAGUGGGACUGAGAUACGGCCCAGACGCCUACGGGAGGCAGCAGUGGAGAAUAUGGCAGAAUGGGCGGAAGCCUGAUGCAGCAACGCCGCGUGCGGGAUGACGGCCUUCGGGUUGUAAACCGCUGUCGCCGGAGACGAAGAGGGAGUGACGGUAAUGGGUAAAGAAGCACCGGCUAACUACGUG